GUGGGGAAUAUUGGACAAUGGGCGAAAGCCUGAUCCAGCCAUGCCGCGUGUGUGAAGAAGGUCUUCGGAUUGUAAAGCACUUUAAGUUGGGAGGAAGGGCAGUAAGUUAAUACCUUGCUGUUUUGACGUUACCGACAGAAUAAGCACCGGCUAACUUCGUGCCAGCAGCCGCGGUAAUACGAAGGGUGCAAGCGUUAAUCGGACUUACUGGGCGUAAAGCGCGCGUAGGUGGUUUUGUAAGUUGGAGGUGAAAUCCCCGGGCUCAACCUGGGAACUGCCUCCAAAACUGCAUGACUAGAGUACGGUAGAGGGUAGUGGAAUUUCCUGUGUAGCGGUGAAAUGCGUAGAUAUAGGAAGGAACACCAGUGGCGAAGGCGACUACCUGGACUGAUACUGACACUGAGGUGCGAAAGCGUGGGGAGCAAACAGGAUUAGAAACCCCGGUAGUCC
Molecule: ribosomal RNA, 450 nt
Filed under: uncultured bacterium
Lineage: Bacteria
Description: partial 16S ribosomal RNA
Rfam family: Bacterial small subunit ribosomal RNA
Source: RNAcentral